This 73-nucleotide transfer RNA is filed under the name Streptomyces anulatus. Its description in RNAcentral is "tRNA-Arg". It matches the Rfam family "tRNA". Rfam says of the family: Transfer RNA (tRNA) molecules are approximately 80 nucleotides in length. Their secondary structure includes four short double-helical elements and three loops (D, anti-codon, and T loops). RNAcentral also lists the same sequence under 31 other names. Lineage: Bacteria; Bacillati; Actinomycetota; Actinomycetes; Kitasatosporales; Streptomycetaceae. The record is from RNAcentral.
GCCCCCGUAGCUCAGGGGAUAGAGCAUCGGCCUCCGGAGCCGGGUGCGCAGGUUCGAAUCCUGCCGGGGGCAC